AGAAUAUGGUGCUCCUGAAGAUUCUGAACUGAAAAAACAAUCAGAAUUACUUAAAAAUAAUUUGAUAUCAGUAGAAUUAUGCUGUUCUAUAAAUCCUGAUAAAAAACCUGUUGCUAAAAAGUUACCAGCAAUGAUGACUGUUGGGAAAGUGAAAACGCUUGCCUGUCGGCUUUUUAAUCAAAAUAUCCAAGAUAUUAUUUUAUGGGUUGUGAGUUCUAAGGAAAGUGAACCAGAAAUUGAAAUGGAUAAUGAUUUGCGAGAAAUAUCAUUUUAUUCUGUAAGAAAUGGCGAUAAAAUAUAUGUAAGAUAAACUAAAAAUAUUUUUUCUGUAAAUAUUCUAUAGACGUUUAUUUAUUUUUAUUAUUACUAAAAUUGUAAAUAUUAAUAAAUUUCAUAUCUUCAAAAUAUAUUCAAGUUGUUGAUUUUCAUUCAAUCACAUAAUUCAUUAAAACUGACAUUUUUACAUUUAUAAAAAUGUAAAAAUAGUUUAAUGUCAAAUGUGGAUCUAUGUGUUUGAAAUAGAUACUGCUGAAAAAUCUCUAUUUAAUAUAUUAAUUUAUAUAAUAAUGCAUUAUUAUAUAAUGAAUCUCCAUUUCCAUAGCCAUAUUUCUAAACAACUGAUUUCUUAUAAAAAUACAAAUAUAAUAA
Centruroides sculpturatus (bark scorpion) is the source of this 648-nucleotide long non-coding RNA. RefSeq lists it as uncharacterized. Lineage: Eukaryota; Metazoa; Arthropoda; Arachnida; Scorpiones; Buthidae. The record is from RefSeq and is a predicted model, not a curated record. The transcript is spliced from 4 exons.